GCCCGAGUGGCGGAAUUGGUAGACGCAACGGACUUAAAAUCCGUUGAGGCUUGUCCUCGUGUCGGUUCGAUUCCGACCUCGGGCACCA
This 88-nucleotide transfer RNA is filed under the name Actinomycetota bacterium. Its description in RNAcentral is "Actinobacteria bacterium (hydrocarbon metagenome) tRNA-Leu". It matches the Rfam family "tRNA". From Rfam's summary of the family: Transfer RNA (tRNA) molecules are approximately 80 nucleotides in length. Their secondary structure includes four short double-helical elements and three loops (D, anti-codon, and T loops). Further hydrogen bonds mediate the characteristic L-shaped molecular structure. tRNAs have two regions of fundamental functional importance: the anti-codon, which is responsible for specific mRNA codon recognition, and the 3' end, to which the tRNAs corresponding amino acid is attached (by aminoacyl-tRNA synthetases). tRNAs cope with the degeneracy of the genetic code in two manners: having more than one tRNA (with a specific anti-codon) for a particular amino acid; and 'wobble' base-pairing, i.e. permitting non-standard base-pairing at the 3rd anti-codon position. Lineage: Bacteria; Bacillati; Actinomycetota. The record is from RNAcentral.